ACAAUACACUCAGACACUCCAACCCAAAAUCCUCCCAUCUGCCUGUGAUACAAUUACCUUACACAAUGGGUUAAUAUAAUUAUCACAGACAGGAAAAUACAGUUUUACACAAUAUUCAUAACUUUAAAAGUAUGCAUCACAUUCACAGAAAUUGUCCUGUGUAUAGCGUAGCAAGUGUAAUUCCCUGGAUAAAUAGUGACACCAUUGGGUG
This is a non-coding RNA of Pelobates cultripes (western spadefoot toad), 211 nucleotides long. Lineage: Eukaryota; Metazoa; Chordata; Amphibia; Anura; Pelobatidae. The record is from the annotation of a GenBank genome assembly.